Non-coding RNA from Thamnophis sirtalis, 2710 nucleotides. The record is from RefSeq and is a predicted model, not a curated record. NCBI's taxonomy places the organism in Eukaryota, Metazoa, Chordata, Lepidosauria, Squamata, Natricidae.
CNUUGGAAGACUUUUGAAACUGUUUCGUGUGCAUUAACAGGAAGUUUGGGGCUGCUCGGCUACUCUUUUUGCUUUGUUUUUCUUGCCUGGCGAAGAUUCCACAACAUCCACUGGAACCAGACCUCCCCCUCUUUUUUUUCCCUUUUCUUUUUAAAGAAAACAAAACAAAGCUCUUCGUUCCUCCUUUCUGACCUCUCCCUCCUCCUCCUCUUCCUCCUGCGCUGCCCUGUUUGGAAAGAGAAGAAACCUGAAAAAGACAGACUUCCAGAGAUAAUCACAUGGAAUGACAAUCACACAAAAAGGGAUGCUAAGAAUAAGCAGCUGAAUUCUUGAAUGAGUUUGGAUUCUGGAAGGGCAUCUUCAAAGAGGUCUGCCCAUUAACUGUAGAGAGCCCUAGAUUGGGGAGGGAGCAUAUGCUUGGAAAGAUACCAUUGAACAAUUCCUGUUCUGCUAUAGGAAAAAACUGAUUUCACAAUAGUAAACAUGGAGUUUCUUCGGCUUUUCAGGAGUUUCAUUUGAAAGGAUGAAGAGAUAUUUCCCGACACUGCAACUUAUCUGAUAAAUCAAAUAUACUGCUGUGGGGUGUGUGUGGGGAGAUCUUAAUCACUCUGGACAUGAGUUGAACAACUAAAGUUUUAAUGCAGAAAAAUGCACAGACAAGACAGUGGUCAUCUCUCUUCCGUAGUCUGAAAAGGAAAUGUGCAAUGUUAGUUCUAUAGGACCCAUAUUCUGUUUAGCAGAUGCAUUUAAAAUUCAGUAGAUUGGUUCCUUCUCUGGGCUAUUUCACAAUUCAUCAACCAUUAACAAGAUGUGUUGCAAAACACAGGAAGUUGUCAUCAACCAUGUCAAACCAGAAGUCAGUCUAUCAUAGUAUGGAUGAUGGCUCUCCAGGAUUUAUUACAGAAUAUGCAGUCUCUGAUGCUGCUCCAGGCAACUACUGAUCCUGGGGAUUCUGUCAAGAAGGACCCUAAUGCAAUUAUUUACAAAACCCAAGCUUAAUUCUCAAUUAUUUGUAAAUGGCUCUUGCUGAAAACUUCCUAAGGUGCUAAUUAGGCAGCCAAUUCAAUACAAGUCAACUUCCUGGUCUCCAACUAUCAGAUAUUUUUUAGUUUAGCACAAGCAAAUUUGAAUUAUUGCUUGUGAUAAUUCAUGUCAUAUUCCUCUAAUAAUCAUCAUAUUGUGAUAAUUUGGUUCUAUAAAAGGAUGAAUGGCACUUCACAGAUCCUCUCAUGUUUUACUUGAGUAAGGGUCUUUCAGAGGCAUAUGGCACAAGAGUGACAAAUGAGAAACCUAUUGGUUCAACCUAAAAUAUGAACUGGAAAGGAUAAUAAAAGUCCUUGAUGAAUCUUUGUCCCGGAGGGGGGGGGGGUAUCAAAAUUUGCUUUAUGUGUCUUAUUCAGUCCAUUUCUAACCAUGUUUCCUGAUAUCCCCAAAAAGGAAAUAGCAGCACAAAAUACCACUGAAUUUAAUAAAGGAAGGAGAUUUAAUCUAUAUUUUUCUUUGGUCAAAUGCAACUUUGUAGAAGUUUUCCUUUGCAAUCCAUUAAUCUUACAAAGAUUUCAAGGUAAUUUCCCAACCAUACCUUUAUUAUGAACAUUUUCUUUCAGUAAUUGUCUUCUUUGUUGUUGAAGAAGCUAACUUCAAAGGAAACUAUUGUCACUCAGAAUGUGUGGAGGCAAACCAUCUUGUUUUUUCAGUGGAUAAAGACAAUCACAUAUAAAUUGAACACAAUUCCUGUGUAAAUACAGUGAAGAUUAAAAUAUAGAAAGUACUCAAUUUAUGACCAUUCAUUUAGCAAUCGUUCAAGUUACAGCGAUUCUGAAAAUGUGACUUAUGACUUUCUUCAAACUCACACGUCCGUCGCAUUCACAUGACCAAAGUCCCUGGAAUUGGAAAGAGUCUGUAUUUACAACAGUUGCAUUGCCCUGGGGCCAAAUGAUCAUUAUCUGUGACCUUCCCAAUAGUCUUCCAACAAACAAAGUCAAUGGGGAAAGUUGUAUUUGCUUAAUGAUCUCAUGAUCUACUUAAUAACUGUUGUAUUUGCUUAACAACAGCGGCAAAAAUAGGUGUACAUAUAUGCAUGACUCACUUAAACCAAAACUCUGGUCUCAAAUGUAAUAACUUGAGGUUUACCUGUACCAGAGUACAAUUGAGUUUUAAAAUGGCAUACUAAAGUAAGCUUACUUGUAUUGAUUAUACACUUAUCAGCCAUCUUUACUGAUGUUCUAUUGACAUCUGAUAUCCCAGGUACUUUCAUAUACAAAUGAAAUAGAUUAGUCAGAAUGUUUGCUCAUUGCAGAUGCAGCCACUGAUGAGAAGGAGCGCAUUCUGUGCCUUGCAUUGUGAUUUGGAAAUGUGCCUAUUGUAUCCAAUCUGACUGCUCAGAGCAAUAACUUAGAAGGAAUGAAUACAUUUGUUUCAAGAAGAUGGAAUUUGUUUCAUUAGUAUUGUUUAAAUUAAAUUCGAGGGAGAGAUCAUUUGUAGUGCCGCAUCUAAAGUAUAUUUGUAAAUAGGUAGCUGCAUGGAAGAUACAUAAGCCAUCACCCAACAGAAAAUAAAAAAUGAAAAAGCAUUUUUGAAAUGUUCAUUUUAAGAAAUGCAUAUUUUUAUUUAAGAACAGCUUUUGUCAUAUGCCUUAGACCCAAUCAAAACCCUAGCUUUGUUUUUUGUAAUUUAUAAAAAUAUUCUGCUUUUCUUUUAUACUAUUUUU